UACGGAGGGCGCAAGCGUUGUUCGGAAUCAUUGGGCGUAAAGCGCGUGUAGGCGGCCUGGUAAGUUGGGUGUGAAAUCCCUGGGCUCAACCCAGGAAUUGCACUCAAAACUGCCGGGCUUGAGUACGGGAGAGGGAAGUGGAACUCCUAGUGUAGAGGUGAAAUUCGUAGAUAUUAGGAGGAACACCUGUGGCGAAGGCGGCUUCCUGGACCGAUACUGACGCUGAGACGCGAAAGCGUGGGGAGCAAACAGGAUUAGAUACCCGCGUA
Molecule: ribosomal RNA, 269 nt
Filed under: uncultured prokaryote
Description: partial 16S ribosomal RNA
Rfam family: Bacterial small subunit ribosomal RNA
Source: RNAcentral